CCUACGGGAGGCAGCAGUGGGGAAUAUUGCACAAUGGGGGGAACCCUGAUGCAGCGACGCCGCGUGAGUGAAGAAGUAUUUCGGUACGUAAAGCUCUAUCAGCAGGGAAGAAAAAAGGACGGUACCUGAGUAAGAAGCCCCGGCUAACUACGUGCCAGCAGCCGCGGUAAUACGUAGGGGGCAAGCGUUAUCCGGAAUUACUGGGUGUAAAGGGAGCGUAGACGGUAAUGCAAGUCCGGAGUGGAAUGCGGCAGCGCAACUGCCGAACUGCUCUGGAAACUGUAUGGCUUGGGUGCAGGAGGGGUAAGCGGAAUUCCUGGUGUAGCGGUGAAAUGCAUAGAUAUCACACAGAACACCGAUUGCGAAGGCAUCUCACGAAUCCGCGAUUGACGCUGAUGCGCGAAAGCGUGGGGAGCAAACAGGAUUAGAUACCCCAGUAGUC
RNAcentral lists this ribosomal RNA (442 nucleotides) under uncultured bacterium. Its description in RNAcentral is "partial 16S ribosomal RNA". It matches the Rfam family "Bacterial small subunit ribosomal RNA", at positions 338 to 795 of the family's 1533-position model. The record is from RNAcentral.